UGGGGAAUAUUGCACAAUGGGCGGAAGCCUGAUGCAGCGACCCGCGUGGGGGAUGAAGGCCUUCGGGUUGUAAACUCCUUUCGACAGGGACGAAGCUUUUGUGACGGUACCUGUAUAAGAAGCACCGGCUAACUACGUGCCAGCAGCCGCGGUAAUACGUAGGGUGCGAGCGUUGUCCGGAAUUACUGGCCGUAAAGAGCAAGUAGGUGGUUUGUCGCGUCGUCUGUGAAAUUCCGGGGCUUAACUCCGGGCGUGCAGGCGAUACGGGCUGACUUGAGUGCUGUAGGGGAGACUGGAAUUCCUGGUGUAGCGGUGAAAUGCGCAGAUAUCAGGAGGAACACCGAUGGCGAAGGCGGGUCUCUGGGCAGUAACUGACGCUGAGGAGCGAAAGCUUGGGUAGCGAACAGGAUUAGAUACCCUGGUAGUCCAUGCCGUAAACGGUGGGCGCUAGGUGUAGGGGGCUUCCACGUCUUCUGUGCCGUAGCUAACGCAUUAAGCGCCCCGCCUGGGAGUACGGCCGC
Molecule: ribosomal RNA, 521 nt
Filed under: uncultured bacterium
Lineage: Bacteria
Description: bacterial SSU rRNA
Rfam family: Bacterial small subunit ribosomal RNA
Source: RNAcentral